Non-coding RNA from Chelonoidis abingdonii (Abingdon island giant tortoise), 3314 nucleotides. The record is from RefSeq and is a predicted model, not a curated record. NCBI's taxonomy places the organism in Eukaryota, Metazoa, Chordata, Testudines, Testudinidae.
CAAGGCUGGGUCCACAGCUGGGGCCAGGAGCAAAGCCCUGGUCGAGUGCCAGGAGGGUGAGGGAGCUGGGUGGUGCUCCUUCCCUACCCGUGCUGCUGUAGGUUGGUCUGGGUUGCAGCCACGCCCCCCUGAACAGUCUUCUGUACUCCCUUAAUGGGGCACGCCUCACAGUUUGGGAACUUCUGGUGGACAUGUUUCACUGUGAACACAGGAGUAAACUUUAAAUGUUUUCAGGGUCUAAGACAUGAUGUGUCAAGAAGCUGUAACAAAUGCUAGGUGGGAAGGCAAAAGUAACUGAUUAUCACUAAUCAAAAUUGAUAUUGUCCCUUUUUAACCCACGUGGCUUGUCAAAGCUCAGGGCGCUGGGGGUGCUCCAGCUGGGAAUAGAAAUUGAUGGAGUCUGGUAUGUUCAAUGCACUCUUGUUCAUGUACAAGGAAUAUACAAAGUCCUGUUUCCUCUGAAUGCAGGAGAAACCACAAACAAAAGAAGCAGUUUCUUAGGUAAUAGCCCAAGCCUCUGUAACUAGCAGGUCCAGAAUCUCUCUCUAUCACUGUGCUCAUCAGCUACUGCUUGGCUUUCUUGCUUUUUAUAUCUGCUUCUCUGUUCUUGUCUGAUCUCAGUUUCUAUGUGUUCUGCUUCCCUCACCCCACAUUUACUUAGCAAAAGUCCUCCACCCACACAGUCCAAGCUCCUGGGCAGGUUCAUAGCCCCCUUUUCUUAUAGGUGGGAGAUUUUUGAUUAACUCAUCCUGACAGUUAUGCAAACUGCCUGUAGAAAAACAAGUUGAAUGCAAGUUGUUGAUAUCACAAUUUUCUCCAAUUUCCUCUGCCUUUUUUGCUGGGAAAAGUUAAAAUGAUAACACGUGGUUGGUAUAAUGUUCCAAAUGUUGGCCAUGUAACCAGUCUUUUUAAUUUAGGUUAAAUCUCUUAAGUUGGAUUCCUGUGAGGAGGAGUUUUACUCUGUGGAUUUCAUAUUUCUAAGCAUAUGUUUAAUAGGAUAUUUCCGUGACAGUGUUUAAUACAUAUUGGCAUAAACAAGAACAUGGAAACGAAUCCAGUGUCUAGGAGAACUUUUAAAAUGAUAUAUUUAUUACUUCAUAGCUUAUACCUGUGCAAAAUUCAUCAAGACGGGGGUCUUACUUGUUUUCAACUGAAAAUGAAACAGUAAUAGCAUCUGUUUUUCACUGGUAGCUUCUGUGUUAACUUUUAUAAGUGCUAACAGUUAAACCAGUCCCUUUAUAAUUAACAGCUAUAGAUAUGCUGUUAAAAAUUUAAUUUAAAAAAUCAGUCACUGUUUACAUAAAUUCACUUAGCACAUAUGUGGCUUAGAUGGAAAACAGUGCUACAUUUCUGUUAGCAAUGUGUCUGUUUUAUCUGGUUGCUAUAUAGGAUUUAUGCUGCUGUCAUCAAUGAAGUACAAUGGUAUGCUUGAAAAUCUGCUUCUGUGCAGUUUAAUCUAUCAAAUCAUACAAUGGUAGUUAGAAAGUUGCAUUUUUCCAGAGUGUAAUAAUGAAACAUUCAUUUCUAAAUCAUGACAUUAAAGUAAGCAACAAAGUUGCAUUCACAUUUUUAGCAACCCCCCCAUCCCCUCAACUCCACCUUCGAAAGUGAUUGUCAAAUACUUCACAGCAGCAGAAAAUGUUGGUUGUGUGGCAUUUCUGUAGCCUCAGAUGUGAUCCAUUGAUAAGAUUACAUGGAGUUUUACAUAUGAAGUAGGAUAUAAACCCCUCAGCUCUACAGUCUAGGAAUUGUGCUUAGUGUCCACGUGUAUUAGAAUUAUUGACAUCCGCUUUGAAUUUUGUGACACAUAACAAUAGUGACUGUUAUUAAGGAAAUAUUCUUAAAUCAACUUCAAAAUUUGGAUCACUUGGUCCCACUUGUUUUGGUUUUGUAUUAUGAGCUAAUCCUAAAACUACAAAAGUAAAUAAUGAAUGUUCCAUAUUAUCACAUUAUUUUGCAGCAGAUUUUUUGCUUAGUUUUAAAUGUCUUGUUUUAAAGAGUUACAAGUUUUGUAGUGUACCAAAUAUGCAUGCAAAUCAUCAGCUUGUUCCAUUCUCUGAUGCCAUUUCUCCAGCUCAAGGAAAAUUAGCAUAAGAACUUUGAAUUCUGAUAAGAGCUGCUGACAGAAUUCCAGAUUCACCAGCCACUUCAGUUUUGACAGUAAAAGUGUCUUAAAGUCCACCCACACCGAAGACACACAUUCACCUUAAAAAGGUUAUGCUUACCACACAAUGAUUGGAAACCAUCAUGCAUUGCAGUGACUUUCAGAAAUCUCACAUCAAGUAUAAAAUUUGAAACUAAACAAUAAAACUCAUCAGUUGUAAGGCAAUGUUUGUGACCUGUAAGUGAAAGCCCAUCCUACAGCACAGAAUGUACAGUUUUCCUCACAUGCAGUGCUUGUCUUUACAUGUCAUCUUUAUGCCUGUUGUUCAGGAGCGCCUAUAAGCCCCAGCUGAGAUUGAGGCCAUUGUACAAGCAUGUAGUGAGAAACAGUACCUGCCCUGGAGAGCUGACCAUCAAAGGUGUGUCUACACAGCCUGCAGCAGUGAACCUCCCAACCCGGGGCUCACCUUUGUGCUCUGAAAAUGGACACACACCCCUAGGCUUCAGAGCCCACACCAGACCUACAUAUUGCUGUCUACACUACCAUUUUUAGCGCACUAGUGCUAGUCGUAGUCUGUGGAUCCACGUUGGGAGGCUCAUUGCCAUGGGCUCUGCAGAUAUACCCCUAAAUGGACAGGAGAUACCAAAAAAAGGUGAGAGCGGAAAGUGGCACAGAGGUUAUCUCUAUGCUAAGGGGAAUAAAAGCUGGGUUUUCACAACAUGGUUGCUAACACAUUGUAAAAUCCUAGUGUAGACAGGGUUUUACAAGGUAUUAACUAUUGUGUUGUAAAAACCCACUUUUAUUUCUGGCAUAGAUGUAUCCAAAGAGGUUAAGUGAUUUGCCCAAGAUUACACAGCAUUUUACAGGGCUAUCUGGGAUUAGAUAUGGUCUGGGGGGUGUCAAUGAAUGUUGAUAUAGGGUUGUGUUUCUGAUAAAGUGGGCCUUGUACUACUAUGCAAGCUUUUCUGUCACUUCUCUUACUGGCUGCCGCUUCUGGUUUCUCUCUUGCUGAACCUUUAACAGUGUCCCUAUUCAGGUGGUCUUGGACAUCUGCUAGAUUUCCCCUUUCUUCCUCUCUCUGAGACAAACCUCAAAUCUCCCUCCUACCUGCUCUCUAAUCCGGCCAUGACAUCCACUUAAAAAUGAGCACUAAUCGAAAUCUACAUUCAUCUGAGGGCGAUUCAACAAAUAAACAGCAGUGCAGUUCCCA